GAUGAACGCUGGCGACGUGCCUAAUACAUGCAAGUCGAGCGAACGGACGAGAAGCUUGCUUCUCUGAUGUUAGCGGCGGACGGGUGAGUAACACGUGGAUAACCUACCUAUAAGACUGGGAUAACUUCGGGAAACCGGAGCUAAUACCGGAUAAUAUUAUGAACCGCAUGGUUCAAAAGUGAAAGACGGUCUUGCUGUCACUUAUAGAUGGAUCCGCGCUGCAUUAGCUAGUUGGUAAGGUAACGGCUUACCAAGGCAACGAUGCAUAGCCGACCUGAGAGGGUGAUCGGCCACACUGGAACUGAGACACGGUCCAGACUCCUACGGGAGGCAGCAGUAGGGAAUCUUCCGCAAUGGGCGAAAGCCUGACGGAGCAACGCCGCGUGAGUGAUGAAGGUCUUCGGAUCGUAAAACUCUGUUAUUAGGGAAGAACAUAUGUGUAAGUAACUGUGCACAUCUUGACGGUACCUAAUCAGAAAGCCACGGCUAACUACGUG
This 497-nucleotide ribosomal RNA is filed under the name uncultured bacterium. RNAcentral's name for it is "partial 16S ribosomal RNA". It matches the Rfam family "Bacterial small subunit ribosomal RNA", at positions 28 to 507 of the family's 1533-position model. The record is from RNAcentral.